This 73-nucleotide microRNA precursor is filed under the name Mytilus galloprovincialis (Mediterranean mussel). It matches the Rfam family "mir-29 microRNA precursor family". Rfam says of the family: This family represents the microRNA (miRNA) precursors mir-29. Animal miRNAs are transcribed as ~70nt precursors and subsequently processed by the Dicer enzyme to give a ~22nt product. The record is from RNAcentral. Lineage: Eukaryota; Metazoa; Mollusca; Bivalvia; Mytilida; Mytilidae.
AGGAUUCUGGUCUCAAGUGGUGAAUAGAUUGUAAGGAGAAAAUUUGUCUAGCACCAUUUGAAAUCAGUGCUCC